CAAAUCAAUGUUACCAUCGGUCAACUUUGGCUCGUAGGCCUAGAUUGGGCAUCUCUGCACUGGAGGAAGAGUAAAAGUGGGUAAAUAUCCAUUUUUGGGUGACCUAUAGCUUAAUGUUAAUUAUAGGACCACUACCUGUGUGUGCCUGAAACGUGGGUCUGCAGCAGGAUAUCUCUCACCACCAACCCUGCAGUGCUGAAGCUGAUCUCCGAUAGAGCAGCAAUGGAGUUUAUUUUUCGCGGAAUAAGCCACAGGUCAUGAAAAGCGAGGAAGAGGGGAAAACAACGCUAUUUGUCAGUCCAGCUACAUGUAUAUGUGCUGCCGAAGCAAGCACGAACUAAGGGCCUGGAGGACUGCUAUAUAUCCUGUGGACUUCUGGGUAUGUUUCUGGCAUGUGACCUUCCCCCGCCGCAGCCCAGAGGACAAUACACGCAGACACUAGAAAACGGUCCACCGAAACAUUCACAGACCCUCGGAGGCUAAGAAGAUCUCUAAAAACCUGAAAAGCAGAGCUCAAAGCAGCUAUUGAACUGACAGCCGAAGAAACACUCAAGCUAAUGUUAAGGCUAGUGCUUCCCCUUCGUGUGCUCAGUGACAUUCUCAGGCAUAGCGUAGUGUAUUUGUAAUGUUUAAAAUGGGGUUUAGAUGCACCGAAAAGGGUCACAAUGAUAUAUAUGUCUCAACCAUGUUUCUGAUAACUUACUUUUACAAUAUUUUAUCUGCAUAGCUUAAAAAGAGGGGUAUUACUACCAAAAAAUGACACUUUACUCAUCAUUUACUCCAGCGUUAACUAGCUUGAGUUUCUUUUUUUGUUGUUGAAUACAAAAGGAGAUUUUUGAAGAAUGCUGGAAAAGGGUAGCCACUGACGUCUAUGGUAGAAUAAAAAUACACACAAAAAAUACACAGGAAGUAUGCAUUUAUUUAAUUGAAAAAAAACUGUAAUAUCGUGAAUUGCUAUUAUUAUAAAGGUUUUUACUAUGUUAUUACGAUGGAAGUCAGUUCUGGUGUUUCCAGUGAUGUGCGUUCCAGUUUGUGUUCAAAAGAAAAAGGAAACUCAAACACAUCCAAAACAAGUGGAGGAUGUGUGAACGAUCACAGAAUGUUAAUUUUUCGGUAAACUGUCCCUUUAAGUGGUUCAAAUACUGUGUUAGUUUAUUCCCAUCUGAACACAAAAGAAGAUACUUUAAAAAAUGUCCAGAACCAGUACAUUUGUAGUAGGGAAGAAAAUACUAUGGAAGUCAAUGUUUAUCGGUUUCAAACCUUUUUUUCACAUUUUAUUCAAAUAAAAAUGACCGUAUUUUAAUUUUUGGGCCAACUGUCCAUUUAAGUGGUUCAAAUACUGUUAUUCCCAUUUAAACACAAAAGAAGAUAUUUAAAAAAUGUCCAAAACAGUAAAUUCAUAGUAGGGAAGAAACUACUAUGGAAGUCAAUGGUUUUCGGUUUCAAACCUAUUUUCAAUUUUUUUUAAAUAAAGAUGAUGAUUUAAGUGGUUCAAGUACUGUGUUAUUCUCGUUUAAACACAAAAGAAUAUAUUUUGGAAAAUGUUAAAAAUUAGUACAAUCGUAGUGGGGAAGAAAAUACUAUGGAAGUCAAUGGUUACCGUUGUUUUCAAUUUUUUUUUUUCAAAUAAAGAUGACAUAAUUUUCAUUUUUAGGUGAACUGUACCUCUAAGUGGUUCAAAUACUGUGUUAUUCACAUUUGAACACAUUUUAAAAGAAGAUAUUUAGAAAAAUUUUCAAAAUCAGUACAUUCAUAGUGGGGAAGAAAAUACAAUGGAAGUCAAGAAUUUAAAAUAGAGAUGACUGAAUUUUAAUUUUUGGGUCAGCCUUCGAUUUAAAUGGUUCACAUACUGUGUUAUUCUCUAUGUUUCUUCAAAUAAAUAUGACAGAAAUUUAAAUUUUUGGGUGAACUGUCUCUUUAAGAGGUUUAAAUACUGUUAGUUUAUUCCCAUUUGAACACGAAAGAAGAUAUUUAGAAAAAUGUCCACAACCAGUACAUUCGUAGUAGGGAAGAAAAUAGAAUAGAAGUUAAUGGUUACCAGUUUCAAACUUUUUGCACAUUUUAUUCAAUAAAGAUGACCGAAUUUUCAUAUUUGGGCCAACUGUCCAUUUAAGUGGUUCAAAAAAAUGUUCAAAAUCAGUACAUUCAUGGUGGGGAAGAAAAUAUGGAGGUCAAUGGUUACCGGUUUUAAACCUUUUUUCAAAUGAAGAUGACAGAAUGGGUGAACUGUCCCUUUAAUGUAUCCAGUGUAGAAUUCUCUAUUCAUCAAAGACUUCUAGGAGAGAUAAAUAUUUCUACAAAAAUAGCUAGUAUAAGCUAGCUAUCAUUAUUAAAACAUUAAAAGACCAUCACAGUGAA
Long non-coding RNA from Danio aesculapii, 2358 nucleotides. RefSeq lists it as uncharacterized. The record is from RefSeq and is a predicted model, not a curated record. Lineage: Eukaryota; Metazoa; Chordata; Actinopteri; Cypriniformes; Danionidae. The transcript has 4 exons.